Molecule: ribosomal RNA, 773 nt
Filed under: uncultured Streptococcus sp.
Lineage: Bacteria; Bacillati; Bacillota; Bacilli; Lactobacillales; Streptococcaceae
Description: bacterial SSU rRNA
Rfam family: Bacterial small subunit ribosomal RNA
Source: RNAcentral
GACGAACGCGGCGGCGUGCCUAAUACAUGCAAGUAGAACGCACAGGAUGCACCGUAGUUUACUACACCGUAUUUCUUGAGUUGCGAACGGGUGAGUAAACGCGUAGGUAACCUGCCUGGUAGCGGGGGAUAACUAUUGGAAACGAUAGCUAAUACCGCAUAAGAACAUUUACUGCAUGGUAGAUGUUUAAAAGGUGCAAGAGCAUCACUACCAGAUGGACCUGCGUUGUAUUAGCUAGUUGGUGAGGUAACGGCUCACCAAGGCAACGAUACAUAGCCGACCUGAGAGGGUGAUCGGCCACACUGGGACUGAGACACGGCCCAGACUCCUACGGGAGGCAGCAGUAGGGAAUCUUCGGCAAUGGGGGAAACCCUGACCGAGCAACGCCGCGUGAGUGAAGAAGGUUUUCGGAUCGUAAAGCUCUGUUGUUAAGGAAGAACGUGUGUGAGAGUGGAAAGUUCACACAGUGACGGUACUUAACCAGAAAGGGACGGCUAACUACGUGCCAGCAGCCGCGGUAAUACGUAGGUCUCGAGCGUUGUCCGGAUUUAUUGGGCGUAAAGCGAGCGCAGGCGGUUAGAUAAGUCUGAAGUGAAAGGCAGUGGCUCAACCAUUGUAGGCUUUGGAAACUGUUUAACUUGAGUGCAGAAGGGGAGAGUGGAAUUCCAUGUGUAGCGGUGAAAUGCGUAGAUAUAUGGAGGAACACCGGUGGCGAAAGCGGCUCUCUGGUCUGUAACUGACGCUGAGGCUCGAAAGCGUGGGGAGCGAACAGG